CGUAGCUUCCUUGUCGUGUGGCCUCAGUCCUUCGCCGUCCCUCGCCGUCCUUCGCCAUCGCACGCCACCGCACCCCAUCUCUCGAAAUCUGCAGACAUCUUGAUUUUUCCCACGCUGUCUGUCAGGUCUCCGCCGCCACUCGACGCCAGGGCGCCGGGCCUUGUGGGCUGUGCUGCACCUCGGACGGCUUCGCACCAGCCAGCGCCCUCUCUCUCCUGCAGCACUCUGAUCUGCACCCCCUGAGGGGCUUCCACUGUCCGCGGGGUGAGAAUGCCCCUGGGAGUGUCACAUGACUGCCGCCCCAUGUGUGUGAGAGGCGUCCUCUGGGAGAGCAUGGAUCCUGAGGUCCCAGGAUUGUCAGCUGACCUCUGUCCUGUGUGCCCAGUGGCCCCAGGUGACGUGUCUUCAAGAAGAGGCUGAGCUGCGGUGCUUGUAAGGGUCUCAUUCUGUCACCCAGGCUGGAGUGCAGUGGUGCAAUGAUGGCUCACUGCAGCCUCGACCUGGGCUCAAGUGAUCCUCCACCUCAGCUUCCUGAGUAGCUGGGACCACAGAGUCAUGUGCUGUUCCUGGGGCUUGGAUGAUGUAGGGGAAGCAAGGUGAAAGUGGUAUCCCGUGGUUCCACGUUCUGUCCUGCUGUGGGGCUGUCCCUCACAUGCUUUCAGUGGCUGUUGCAGAGGAAGAGCCUCCGGAAAUCUGCGUGGGUCUCAGCCUUAGAUCCAAGGACAGUCCAAGGAAGUCCUAAGACCAUGGAGUUGGUGAUCUGGGAUCUGGGUUUGCUGAUAUUUCUCACCGUGAAUCUCUUGGUGGUGUUUGUGGGCACGAGAGGGGCAGAGAAUGGAGAGUGAGGCUACCACAUGAAGCGUCACCAGAGCUGCUCCCUGCUGCCUGCUCAGAGCACCCCGGAUCCACUGUUCAAUCUGCACAAGAUUCGGGGUCCAGACAUGGGAGACUUCAGCUGCCUCAGAGGACCGUGGACAGGGAAGGCCAGCCUCGCAUCCCUCUGUCCAUGCCUGGAAUGACUUUAAUAACCAAGAGUUUUAUUUUUGAAUUUGUAGCUGUCGUUCACUUUUUACCCACCCAUUCAAUAAACCUUACAGAAUUGCUCCA
Molecule: long non-coding RNA, 1107 nt
Filed under: Homo sapiens (human)
Lineage: Eukaryota; Metazoa; Chordata; Mammalia; Primates; Hominidae
Description: PREDICTED lncRNA (TCONS_00170853)
Source: RNAcentral